Molecule: ribosomal RNA, 459 nt
Filed under: uncultured bacterium
Lineage: Bacteria
Description: partial 16S ribosomal RNA
Rfam family: Bacterial small subunit ribosomal RNA
Source: RNAcentral
CCUACGGGAGACAGCAGUGAGGAAUAUUGGUCAAUGGGCGGAAGCCUGAACCAGCCAAGUAGCGUGCAGGAUGACGGCCCUACGGGUUGUAAACUGCUUUUAUACGGGAAUAACGCGCCUUACGUGUAGGGCUUUGCAUGUACCGUAUGAAUAAGGACCGGCUAAUUCCGUGCCAGCAGCCGCGGUAAUACGGAGGAUGCGAGAGUUAUCCGGAUGUUUUGGGUGAAAAGGGUGCGCAGGCGGUCUUUUAAAUCAGCGGUCAAAGCACGGGGCUCACCCCCGGCCCGCCGUUGAAACUGGCUGUCUCGAGUUGGAGAGAAGUAUGCGGAAUGCGCGGUGUAGCGGUGAAAUGCAUAGAUAUCGCGCAGAACUCCGAUUGCGAAGGCAGCAUGCCGGCUCCACACUGACGCUGAGGCACGAAAGCGUGGGUAUCGAACAGGAUUAGAUACCCUUGUAGUC